AAAAAAGUUACUAUUACAUAUAAAGUUCGUCCUUAUACACUAUUAAUGAACACAUAUAAACACAUGUAUGUACAAUAUCUCUCUCGUCACCUACGUACAUAUGUGUUUGUAUAUGGUCAGUUUGUUUUAGCCUCUGUGGUGGAAAUUGCUGUCUUCAUCUUUGUUCUUGUCGCUUAUUGCAUUUCUCUAUCUAUGAUAUUAUGUGGGGUCAACCUUUGGACUGUCGUAAUUCAAUGCAAGUUUCAUGUACAAAUAUCAUUGGUCAACUUCGAGAUUCUCUUUUGAUCAAUUUUAAAUGAUUGUGGUGAAAAACAUAAUUAUUACCCUUUAACUUUAAUAUUUUUGUCUGUUACCUGAAGAUUUAAAGCAAUGAGAAUGUCAGCAUCAUGUAGAGAAAGAGAUUCCUUGACAAACUAUCCAUUAGAAAAGGAGCUACAUUGUAAUGUUGACAAACGAAAAAGCAUAGACUUUUGAAAGUAUUACUUCACUUCGACUCCGAGAUUCAACAACACAUCAAAACAUGAAUAUUAAUACAUAGUAAUUUACUAAUUUAUAAGAUCGAAGUUUCUAGGCAGUGACUCUGUGACGACCUUGAGCUAUUCUCUGAGCUAUAUGACUCUUCGCCCACCUUUGGUUGCUUUGCUGGUCAAAAUCAGACAUUCACUAGUCGAGUAAGUAAACAGUUUGAUCACUCAAAACACAAUGUACAAAUGUAAAAUUUUCUAUUUGUGCUAAACAACGAACUCCUCUAAGGUGAAUGAAGAAGAGCAGUGAGUUUGAGGUGUUGAAAAGUUGAUUUACUACAUUUUUACUAAGGAAGAGUAAAUUAUAAACUCGUUUUCUUCCGGAUCGUUAUAUAUUUUAUUUCAGUUUUAUUUAAUAAUCUUUUCGAUUUUAACAUAUUUGAUUUUUAAAUUAUAAGUUCGUUUUCUUCCGGAUUUAUUUGAUUGAAACGGUUGACAGUUUAUUCGAAACUCUACUAUAGAACUCAAAAAGGUGGUUUAACACUAAGAUAUCUACCGAGCAAAGGAGCCAUGGUUACGUCUGCGCCUGAUAGUGCUUAGGUUGGAAUGUCCUAUUGGGAAAUAAAAGCAAUGGCUCACUUGUUGAAGGAUUGACUACACCACCAAGUACAAAGAUGAUAUCAAGCAAGCACCUCGCAGAGCAGCAAAGUUAGCAACUUUGGUACAUAGACUAAAGCCCAACAAACAAUAGACACAAAGCUGGAAUACUUUUUUCUUUUUUUUGUCAAACAGCUGGAAUACAUUAACAUUCUUUCACUAUAUGCAACUCAAGCUACAAGCAUUUUCUAACUCGCCAUGAUCAUGAUUCAAAAACCUAUAACACCGCACCAUGAUACAGUACUUCCACUAACAGCAAAUGGGCAAUAACAAGACUAAUGCCAUCUCCAAUGGAUCUUUCUANNNNNNNNNNNNNNNNNNNNNNNNNNNNNNNNNNNNNNNNNNNNNNNNNNNNNNNNNNNNNNNNNNNNNNNNNNNNNNNNNNNNNNNNNNNNNNNNNNNNNNNNNNNNNNNNNNNNNNNNNNNNNNNNNNNNNNNNNNNNNNNNNNNNNNNNNNNNNNNNNNNNNNNNNNNNNNNNNNNNNNNNNNNNNNNNNNAAAUCGAUAGGUUAAACAAAUGUUUCAAAAUUUGUUGUGUUAUUGUUUUGUCUAUAAAUUACAAAAUUUAUUGAAUUAAUAUAUUUAAUUAUUGCAUCCUUAAAUAAUAUUUUAUUAAGACAUUAGAGAACUAUGUUUUGAGUUGUUUUGUCAAAAUUGUACAAAAAUCUAUGCUUUUUCAUAUUUGUCACGAAAAUUUAUAUGUUAAACUUACUUUUACAAAAUUCUUAACUUUGUCACGAAAACAAAAAUCUAUGCUUUUUCAUAUUUGUCAACGUUCUCACACUUUCUAAGAAUAUAUUAGCUUAGUCACUUACUUAUUUUUUUUUUACAAAACAAAGUAUCGGAGUCUUGAAAGUUGAAUUCAUAUUAUUGUAAAUGUACAUAAGAGUUUGUGAUUAUAUACUUAGUGGUUCUUGUAUAUGUGUCCAAGAAAGUUUCAAUGGCUUAGUGGUAACUGUCCUAUAUAUAUAUCAUACUAACCCGGGUUCGAUUCUCACAUUCGCAUUGUUUUUCUAUUUUUUACGAAAAAUAAAUGAGAUGACAUGGCAAUUUCGGGUUUUCUGAUUGGUUGAUUUUUCUAUCCUAUGUGGACACCCUCUCCAUGGCUUAUAUCCCCCUUUUAGUAUAGUAUAGAUGUUACUAAUCCCAAUUUAUUCUGGUCUCAGCCAUUUAACACCAUCAUGAUUUCACAGAAGUAUAUAAAUGCUCAAUUAUUCCUUUCGUCAACUCUAUAUGUUGAUUUGAGAACAUACGGGUAAAUAAGAUUUGUAAAUUUUUUAACAAAUUAUGGAGCCAAAUAUUAAUCAUCUUAAUCUUUGGCCUCUGCUUUCUCUUUGGUCUCUUCAUUCUUCAUUUUUUAGUGAAUGAGUUUCGUUGAAUAACAAGUGGAUUAUAUAGUGGACGAUGCUGAGAUUUUAUAGUUACUGAAUUUACAUUAUUAAAUUUUCAAUUGAAUGAAAAUGGCAUGUUUUGUAAAACGUGGAUUGCUCUGAAACUUGAAAUGAUUGACUGAAAAAUAAUUUUAAAAUCAAAGGGUAGAUAAAGUCUAAAAUGAUCAAAUGUUACAUAGAAGUUUGGAAACGGCUAUUAUUUUGACACAAAACAAAAUCCCUAAAACGACUUAAAAAACAAAACGGAGGGAGUAUUAAUUAUGUUAUUUCUGUUUAAUUUUUUAUAUUUUAAUACAAUAUUUUACUAAUUAAUAUUGUUGUAAUAAUAGUAAAAUUUUUAUAAAUUUAAAUUAGUUAUGACAAAUAUAAGGACCAUAAUAUAAAAUACAAAUAGUUUUGAAAUUAAGUUUGAAGUUUUGUUUUUGGAAAACAACAUCUUUAAACUUCGAAUAUAAAAUUUUAGAAACUUCAAAAUAGAGUGUCUUUUUGGAGAUGUUCUUAUAGUCGUAUAGAAACGGCGAAUUUAUAAUUUUAAGUAAAUAAAAUAUAGAGAAACAUUUUCACGUUUUCGUGUGGUUAAAAUAUACUCACGUUGGUAAAACUAUUUACAUGUAGUGACAUCAACUCUUAAGUCAAAUUAAGAAUCUAAUAUAUAAAGCAAUGAAGCCCUUUAUGUCAAACUUUAAACUUUGCUUCCUUUGAUGGCAAUCAUAUUAAUCAUUUUUAUACUUAGAGGAAGUGUCUUUCGACUUAAUUAUUGAUUGAAAAACUUACAUAUUUCACCGUAUAGGAUAAAAGUAAGGACGACCAUAGUGAGAAUCUUUUAACUACAAUUAAUUUUAAUCAUUAGUAUGAAUGUUUUAAAUGAUAAGAAUACCCAAUCUAAAGUUCAAUAAGAAAAUAAAAUUACAUUUUUUUUUAUCAACGAAAAUAAAAUUACAUUAAGAACUAAAUUUAUAACUGAGGCAUAGGACCUGCACUGUCUGCAUGAGCAGCACGUGUCUGUCUAGAAGUAGUCAAUGGCCAUGAUUCUGUAAUAAGCCACACAGGCUCUCACUGAGAGAAACUUCAGCUUUUAGCCUUGUUAACCUUUUAUAAACACAAAACCCUAUAAAGAUACACUGGCCACUCUCGUCUUCAGUGUGCUAAAAUGCCCACCUAAAUAAAUGUUAGUAUAAUAUUAUUACUUUGUUAUAUCUUUAAUGUGUCAACUCAUUUCUUUUUAUACUCUACAAAAGUUCCAAUUAUUGUUAAUUUAACUCUUAUAUAUACAUAUAUGAUGUUUUGGAAUUCAAAAUAGAAAUAUUGGGUCCACAAAAUUAGGUGGUAUAUUAUUAUCUCUUAGUUUGGUAAUUAAUUAAUAAGAAGUUUUUCUGCAGCCGUCAUUUCUAUCUCAUUUUAAUUGUGUGUAACUGUGUAUUAAUCUCCCCAGUUUACAAAUAUUAUAAGUUUGUACGACCCUUCAACAUUGUGCAAACAUUCUUAGAGAGAGAGAGAGAGACAGAGAGAUAAAGAGAGAGAACUAGUGAGAGAAAGAGAGAUGGGCCAUCACUCGUGCUGCAACAAGCAGAAGGUGAAGAGAGGGCUUUGGUCACCGGAAGAAGACGAAAAGCUCAUCAACUACAUCAAUACAUAUGGCCAUGGAUGCUGGAGCUCUGUUCCCAAACAUGCAGGCAUAUAUAUUGGUUUUAUUUUGUUGGAUUCUCUACUGAUAAAAAGUAUAUGUCGUUGGUUUUAAUCUAUGUGUUGUUUUCCGUACGUAUGUUCAAUUAGGUUUGCAGAGAUGUGGAAAGAGUUGUCGAUUAAGAUGGAUAAAUUAUCUAAGACCUGAUCUUAAACGUGGAAGCUUCUCUCCUCAAGAAGCUGCUCUUAUCAUUGAGCUUCAUAGCAUUCUUGGCAACAGGUUGUUACUUAAUUAACAUUACAUCUAAUAGAUUUAUUUGUGAUAAUAUAAAACUAUUUUUUCAUCAAGAAACUGAACUACCUUAAUAAUCAUAUUUUUUUGUUAUGGAUCUUUGAUAGAUGGGCUCAAAUUGCUAAACAUCUACCGGGAAGGACAGAUAAUGAGGUCAAGAAUUUCUGGAACUCAAGCAUAAAAAAGAAGCUCAUGUCUCACCAUUAUCACCAUCAUCAUGGUCAUCAUCAUCAUCAUACCUCUUCAAUGGCGAGUUUGCUCACUAACCUUCCUUAUCACAACGUAUUCAACGGUACUGUUGGCGACGAUGAAGGUUCAAGAUUCAUGUCCAGUUUCAUCGCAAACACAAACCCUAAUUUCAUCACUCCAAACCACCUCCCUCUUCCUUCUCAUGUUAUGACCCCAUUGAUGUUCCCAACCUCUAGAGAAGGAGACGUCAAGUAUCUAACCACUACCAACACAAACCAGUCCCAUCAAGAUAAUAACCUUUCCACCAAUCUCGACAUUUUUUCAGCCACACCAUUCAUAAACAAUCAUCAUCACCAUCAUGAUAAUGAUCCCCAAUGGCCAUCACUACCAGAUCUCCCAGCGAGUACCAUCUCCCCUUUUCACGAAAGCCUUCAUGAUUAUGACGAUGGUGAUAAACUCAACGUGUUUGUAACCCCACACAACGAUAAUGGGGAUCCUCGGAACUUUCCUUUGGUGGCCACAAAGUUAUUAUGUGGACAAGUUCUUGAAGGCAAAGCAAUUUCACAAGAUCACUGCCUUCUUCUCCCAACAACUUACGACUUGCAAAUGCAUGGUGAUUAUCGACGAGUGGACUCAUACAUUAAUCACAUGGUCAUACCAUCAUCAUCAUCUUCAUCAUCGCCAAUCUCCUGUGGACAGUACGUCAUCACUUAAGCAAACCCUAGUCCUACUCUAUCAACAUGGGAUUCCCAGACAUGAGUACGUAAUAAAUAUGUACCUAUAUAUGAUCUAUAUACGUUUUUAUAUCUAUAUAUUAGGAGGAAAGAGAGAACAUAAAUAAUCACUCACAUGUGUUGAUAACUCUUUUCCAUAUCAAAAAUAUUCUACACUAUAGUAUAUAAGAAUUUGUGAUAUGUUACAUUUAGUACUUUUCAGAAAUAUUGCAUCGUCUUUGUUUUUGGGGAAACAUAAAUGUUGCUAGUUCUUCUUCAGGUUUAUAGUCGUGAGUUUGUGGAAAAAAAGUUACUAUUACAUAUAAAGUUCGUCCUUAUACACUAUUAAUGAACACAUAUAAACACAUGUAUGUACAAUAUCUCUCUCGUCACCUACGUACAUAUGUGUUUGUAUAUGGUCAGUUUGUUUUAGCCUCUGUGGUGGUGUUCAAUUAGGUUUGCAGAGAUGUGGAAAGAGUUGUCGAUUAAGAUGGAUAAAUUAUCUAAGACCUGAUCUUAAACGUGGAAGCUUCUCUCCUCAAGAAGCUGCUCUUAUCAUUGAGCUUCAUAGCAUUCUUGGCAACAGGUUGUUACUUAAUUAACAUUACAUCUAAUAGAUUUAUUUGUGAUAAUAUAAAACUAUUUUUUCAUCAAGAAACUGAACUACCUUAAUAAUCAUAUUUUUUUGUUAUGGAUCUUUGAUAGAUGGGCUCAAAUUGCUAAACAUCUACCGGGAAGGACAGAUAAUGAGGUCAAGAAUUUCUGGAACUCAAGCAUAAAAAAGAAGCUCAUGUCUCACCAUUAUCACCAUCAUCAUGGUCAUCAUCAUCAUCAUACCUCUUCAAUGGCGAGUUUGCUCACUAACCUUCCUUAUCACAACGUAUUCAACGGUACUGUUGGCGACGAUGAAGGUUCAAGAUUCAUGUCCAGUUUCAUCGCAAACACAAACCCUAAUUUCAUCACUCCAAACCACCUCCCUCUUCCUUCUCAUGUUAUGACCCCAUUGAUGUUCCCAACCUCUAGAGAAGGAGACGUCAAGUAUCUAACCACUACCAACACAAACCAGUCCCAUCAAGAUAAUAACCUUUCCACCAAUCUCGACAUUUUUUCAGCCACACCAUUCAUAAACAAUCAUCAUCACCAUCAUGAUAAUGAUCCCCAAUGGCCAUCACUACCAGAUCUCCCAGCGAGUACCAUCUCCCCUUUUCACGAAAGCCUUCAUGAUUAUGACGAUGGUGAUAAACUCAACGUGUUUGUAACACCACACAACGAUAAUGGGGAUCCUCGGAACUUUCCUUUGGUGGCCACAAAGUUAUUAUGUGGACAAGUUCUUGAAGGCAAAGCAAUUUCACAAGAUCACUGCCUUCUUCUCCCAACAACUUACGACUUGCAAAUGCAUGGUGAUUAUCGACGAGUGGACUCAUACAUUAAUCACAUGGUCAUACCAUCAUCAUCAUCUUCAUCAUCGCCAAUCUCCUGUGGACAGUACGUCAUCACUUAAGCAAACCCUAGUCCUACUCUAUCAACAUGGGAUUCCUAGACAUGAGUACGUAAUAAAUAUAUACCUAUAUAUGAUAUAUAUACGUUUUUAUAUCUAUAUAUAAGGAGGAAAGAGAGAACAUAAAUAAUCACUCACAUGUGUUGAUAACUCUUUUCCAUAUCAAAAAUAUUCUACACUAUAGUAUAUAAGAAUUUGUGAUAUGUUACAUUUUCAGAAAUAUUGCAUCGUCUUUGUUUUAUGGGGGAAACAUAAAUGUUGCUAGUUCUUCUUCAGGUAUAUAGUCGUGAGUUUGUGGAAAAAAGGUUACCAUUACAUAUAAAGUUCGUCCUUAUACACUAUUAAUGAACACAUAUAAACACAUGUAUGUACAAUAUCUCUCUCGUCACCUACGUACAUAUGUGUUUGUAUAUGGUCAGUUUGUUUUAGCCUCUGUGGUGGAAAUUGCUGUCUUCAUCUUUGUUCUUGUCGCUUAUUGCAUUUCUCUAUCUAUGAUAUUAUGUGGG
Molecule: long non-coding RNA, 7332 nt
Filed under: Brassica napus (rape)
Lineage: Eukaryota; Viridiplantae; Streptophyta; Magnoliopsida; Brassicales; Brassicaceae
Description: long non-coding RNA (BNAP_LNC000845)
Source: RNAcentral